This 267-nucleotide long non-coding RNA is filed under the name Physcomitrium patens. RNAcentral describes it as "long non-coding RNA (PPAT_LNC010116)". Lineage: Eukaryota; Viridiplantae; Streptophyta; Bryopsida; Funariales; Funariaceae. The record is from RNAcentral.
CUCAAUUCCUGUAUAUACUAGAUCCUAGGAAACUUCUUGAGAAAUUUUUAUGACACUUGGGAACAAAGUAAGCCUAAGAUCCUUCUUUGGCAACUUCCUAAAUUAUCUAAAGCCUCCAAGAACCUUCUAGGAUCUCCUAUGACUUUCUAGAACUUUCUUAGAAUCUAUUGGAACGUUCUAGAACCUUCUUAGAGCCUAUUAGAAUCUUUUGGAACCUUCUAGAAUCUUCUAGGAUCUACAAGAAUCUUCUUAAAACCUUCUAGAAUC